Molecule: long non-coding RNA, 253 nt
Filed under: Sorghum bicolor (sorghum)
Lineage: Eukaryota; Viridiplantae; Streptophyta; Magnoliopsida; Poales; Poaceae
Description: long non-coding RNA (SBIC_LNC008225)
Source: RNAcentral
CUCCCCAACUUUUGUCUCCAUCUUCCAAUGGCUAGUUUUUGAAGUUUUCCGUUGGCAUAUUGAUGCACUUCCAGCUGAAAAAAUGACUUUUGCAAUUUCCAACAUUUAUUUGUAAAAUUUUUAUUUUUGAAAAAUUUAGAAAAAAUAUUUUCUAUUAUUUUAUUUUAUUUCCUAGCUGAAAAUGAAUUUUUUGAAUAUUUUCAAAAUUUUUAUAUAUAUAUAUUUUAAGAUAACUACCGAUUACCUUGGGCGG